UACGUAGGGAGCAAGCGUUGUUCGGAAUUACUGGGCGUAAAGAGUGUGUAGGCGGUGCUCUAAGUUCGGGGUGAAAUCUCCGGGCUUAACUGGGAGGGUGCGCCGGAAACUGGAGUGCUCGAGCGUGGGAGAGGAAAGCGGAAUUCCUGGUGUAGCGGUGAAAUGCGUAGAUAUCAGGAGGAACACCUGCGGUGUAGACGGCUUUCUGGACCAUUGCUGACGCUGAGACACGAAAGCGUGGGUAGCAAACAGG
Molecule: ribosomal RNA, 253 nt
Filed under: uncultured bacterium
Lineage: Bacteria
Description: partial 16S ribosomal RNA
Rfam family: Bacterial small subunit ribosomal RNA
Source: RNAcentral